GAGACUUUACUAUAUCCUGGUGUUUUUUCUCCGUCCUUUUUUUUUAUUCGCGGUCCUUAUCUGACAGGCAUCGGGAGAUGUCAAAGAAUAUACAAUAUCCAUUUUAGUGGCGCAAGGUCAGGUGCGUCUAACGAGACAUUACUGUAUUUGUGCAUUUAUGGAAACCUUUCUGUACCGAAGAAUAGGCUAAUAGAGUAAUCGAAAAAUAUUCCAUCCACCCGCGGACGACUCUCGUCCAAGAGGUUUGUGCAUUUAUGGAGACUUUACUAUAUCCUGGUGUUUUUUCUCCGUCCUUUUUUUUAUUCGCGGUCCUUAUCUGACAGGCCUCGGGAGAUGUCAAAGAAUAUACGAUAUCCAUUUUAGUGGCACAAGGUCAGGUGCGUCCAACGAGACAUUACUGCAUUUGUGCAUUUAUGGAGACUUUUCUGUACAGAAGAAUAGACUAAUAGAGUGAUCGAAAAAUAUUCCAUCCACCCGCGGACGACUCCCGUCCAAGAGCUUUGUGCAUUUAUGGAGACUUUACUAUAUCCUGGUGUUUUUUCUCCGUCCUUUUUUUUAUUCGCGGUCCUUAUCUGACAGGCAUCGGGAGAUGUCAAAGAAUAUACGAUAUCCAUUUUAGUGGCGCCAGGUCAGGUGCGUCUAACGAGAAAUUACUAUAUUUGUGCAUUUAUAGAGACUUUAGUGUACAGAAUAAUAGGGUAAUAGAGCGAUCGUGGUGGUGAUCGCGAGACGGUGGAUCGCGUGUGGCGUGUUUCGGGCUCCUCUGUUCCGAAUGGAAUUUUCAGGGUGAAUUUUCAAUAAAACGUUGCCAUCAAGGACAAAGCUGGACCAGACUCGCCUAGUCUGCCAGCUAUUCCAUUUCCUCCCUUUAUUUCCCUUUAAACUUCCAUUCCCGCGAUCCCCCG
Molecule: long non-coding RNA, 905 nt
Organism: Hylaeus anthracinus
Lineage: Eukaryota; Metazoa; Arthropoda; Insecta; Hymenoptera; Colletidae
Exons: 3
Source: RefSeq, a predicted model, not a curated record